RNAcentral lists this ribosomal RNA (543 nucleotides) under uncultured bacterium. RNAcentral describes it as "bacterial SSU rRNA". It matches the Rfam family "Bacterial small subunit ribosomal RNA", at positions 355 to 912 of the family's 1533-position model. The record is from RNAcentral.
UGGGGAAUAUUGCGCAAUGGGGGAAACCCUGACGCAGCCAUGCCGCGUGAGUGAAGAAGGUCUUCGGAUCGUAAAGCUCUUUCAACGGUGAAGAUAAUGACGGUAGCAGGUAAAGAAACCCCGGCUAACUCCGUGCCAGCAGCCGCGGUAAUACGGAGGGGGUUAGCGUUGUUCGGAAUUACUGGGCGUAAAGCGCACGUAGGCGGACCAGAAAGUUGGGGGUGAAAUCCCGGGGGCUCAACCCCGGAACUGCCUCCAAAACUAUUGGUCUAGAGUUCGAGAGAGGUGAGUGGAAUUCCAAGUGUAGAGGUGAAAUUCGUAGAUAUUUGGAGGAACACCAGUGGCGAAGGCGGCUCACUGGCUCGAUACUGACGCUGAGGUGCGAAAGUGUGGGGAGCAAAACAGGAUUAGAUACCCUGGUAGUCCACACCGUAAAACGAUGAAUGCCAGUCGUCGGGUAGCAUGCUAUUCGGUGACACACCUAACGGAUUAAGCAUUCCGCCUGGGGAGUACGGUCGCAAGAUUAAAACUCAAAAUGAAUUG